RNAcentral lists this long non-coding RNA (8277 nucleotides) under Solanum tuberosum (potato). Its description in RNAcentral is "long non-coding RNA (STUB_LNC010321)". The record is from RNAcentral. Lineage: Eukaryota; Viridiplantae; Streptophyta; Magnoliopsida; Solanales; Solanaceae.
ACUGCAAAAAAAUUCUAAACAUUUUCCCAAUGGCUGAGAACAACACAACAAAAAGCAAUGGCCAAAUAAGUGUUCAAGAUGCACAAGUGGCUGUGGUUAUGGUGCCACUUCCAGCACAAGGCCAUCUCAACCAGCUUCUCCACCUCUCGAGGCUAAUCACCUCAUAUAAUAUCCCAGUGCACUAUGUUGGAGCAACCCCUCAUAUUCGCCAGGUCAAGUUACGUGUCCAUGGUUUCGACCCUGUUACUACUAAAAACCUACAUUUUCAUGAAUUCCCUACACCACCUUUUGAAAACCCCCCUCCAAAUCCAAAUGCUUCUCAUAAAUUUCCUAAUCAUAUACUCCCUUUACUUUAUGCAACAAUCCAUUUCCGUGAGCCAGUGUGCUCUCUUGUAAACCAACUCUUAGGCGCCAAUCAUCGGAGAGUGAUUGUUAUUUAUGAUUCUCUGAUGACUUGGGUGUUGGAGGAUAUACCAGCAAUUCCAAAUGCCGAGUGCUACCGUUUUAACAGUUUCUCAGCUUUCUAUAUGUUUUCAUCCUAUUGGGAAGCCAAAGGAAAACCUUUCCAACCUGAAACUGAGAUAUUUGAGGACAUUAUAUCAAGAGAAAACUGUGCUACCCCAGAGUUAUGGGAAUUGUGGAAUAAACAAGGAUCCCUUGAAGGGAAAAUUUGCUCUGGAGAACUUUACAAUACAUCCAGAGUAAUAGAAGGUUCAUACCUUGAUUUAGUAGCCAAAGAAACUAAUGGCUUAAACCUAUGGGCUAUUGGUCCAUUCAAUCCGUUGUUGUCUGAGCAGAACAAAGACUCAAACAAACAACAUCAAACCUUGUAUUGGCUUGACAAACAAGAAACAAAUUCGGUAAUCUAUGUGUCUUUUGGAUCAACUACUACCUUGUCUAAUAAAGAAAUCAAAGAGCUCGCCAUCGGGUUAGAGAAAAGCAUGCAAAAGUUCAUUUGGGUUCUCAGAGAUGCUGACAAAGGAGAUGUUUUUGCAGGUGAAGAAAGGAGAGCUCAGCUGCCAGAAGGUUAUGAAGAAAGAAUAAAAGGAAGAGGAAUUAUUGAAAGAGAUUGGGCACCUCAGUUGGAAAUUUUGGCACAUCCUUCCACAGGUGGUUUUAUGAGUCAUUGCGGAUGGAAUUCGUGCAUGGAAAGCAUUUCCAUGGGAGUUCCUAUAGCAGCCUGGCCAAUGCAUUCAGAUCAACCAAGGAAUUCUCAGCUGGUAACAAAGGUCCUGAAAACUGGCCUAACUGUGAGGCAUUGGGCACGUCGGGAUGAAUUGGUUGCAUCAGAAAUAGUUGAAAAUGCUGUGAGAACUUUGAUGGCUUCACCUGAGGGAGAUGAGAUGAGGAAGAGAGCAUCAGAAUUAAGCAUUGCUGUCAAACAAUCAGUCAUGGAUGGGGAAGGUUACGGUGCGGAGAUGAAUUCUUUUAUCGCACACAUUACUCGAGAACUUUCUCACCAGAAUUGACCAAUUGAUAGCAUAAGUGGUUCAACCUAUGAGACUUUAUCAAUGCUCUAUCACCAUCUGAGUGGGUUCAGUGUCCCCUUUUAUGCACAUCACUGCAUGUAUGUUUAAGGAUAAAAAGCUUUUCUUUAUGAGUUCCUUAUAUUUUUUAGUAUAAAUGUAAAGGUCCUCCUUUACUAGCAACUAGUUCUUUUGGCCAGAGAUAUAAAAUAUUAGAAGCUGUUUGUGUAAUCUUUCAAGAACUUUUUGCUUGUGACUACUGAGUGAUAUACUAUGUAUUUUCCAUUCUGCCAGACUUCUCAUCUUGUUAAGUGUAAUUUACAUUAUUUUCUCAACAUUAAUACUACUCAUAUUUUGCAUCUAGACAAAUAAGGAAGAGAUACGGUAAGCUUUCUUGAGAGAUUAGAUUUGAAAUUGCAAUUUGCUCUGUUGCAAAAGGAGCUGUAAAAGGGGGAAAAUCAGAAGAGUUUGAUAUAAGGUAUCUACUUUGAUCUGUAUUUCAGAUUUAGUGGUAACUGUGGAACAUAUUCAAUUCCUUGACCAAGUAAGAUUGCUAAAGUAUUUUUGAAUCUUUUGUGUCUUACAUUCUAAAAAAAACCUAAAAUACAGGAAAUGUUAGGGGUGCGUCCUUUUUCCGCAUCUUGCUAAGGGGGAUUUUGGGGCACCGAAUUUCUCUUCCUUUAUGUUUCAGUGUGGGUUAGUUUAGUCCAUAUUUCAAAUUUGAGACCUCAAAAGAUUACCUGCUUAAUCAACUAUAGUUAUAUGUAUGCUUCAUAAGUGACAAAACAUAAAUAAUUAAUGGUGUAUGCUAUUAUUAUAUUUAACAAAAAACAACAUCGUUCGUUAUAGUACAUGAUACUUGAGUUUUCCAAAGUGAAUAGAAAAAUGGUAUAUGUGAAGCAAUAAUUAGUCAUGUGUUUCAUUUUAUGUGUUACUAGCUAGCUAUCAAAAUUGACACUUAUAGCAUUGACUAAUUUAAGUUGCAACCAAAACCCACUAUUAGUGGCAACCAUUAUAGGGAUUACCGAUGAUCAAAAUAGCAGGUAAAAACAUACUUUCAUCUGAAACUUAAAUAAGAAUAAGCAACAACUGCAUAUACCCCUAAUAUUGACAUUUAGUGGCGAGAAAUUUUGCCACAGAAACAAGAUACUAGCAACGACUAAUUUUGUCACUAAAACAUUCUUUUAUUGGCGACUAUUAUAGGUAUUAGCAACUACUUAUUUUGCCACUAAAACAUUCUUUUAUUGGCGCCUAUUAUGAGCAUUAGCGGCGAUUAUUCUUGCCACUAAAACAAACUAUUAGUGGCGACUAUUAUAUGUAUUAGCAGCGACAGCUUUUGCCACUAAAACAUUAUUUUAGUGGCCACUAGUAUAGGUAUUACAACGACUAAUUUUGCCACCAAACAUUCUUUUAGUGCCGACUAUUAUGAGUAUUAGCGGCGAUUAUUCUUUUCACUAAAACAAACUAUUAGUGGCGACUAUUAUAUGUAUUAGCAGCGACUAAGUAGUGACUUUUCCGUAAAAUUUGUGACUUUUAAGAAGGGUAAAAUAAAUAAGAAUCUUGAUUUGUGACGGCGUCGCAUAGGCAGGUCGGCUGUUGUAAACAAAUGCACGUUUAUGAAGAGUGGCAAGAGUGGUAACAAAAUGAACGGAAAAAGCAGCGGUUGAAGGCUGAAACUACGUUCCUAUUGUUGAGGGGGAAGGACAGUUUUGGAAAUAAAUAAAUAAAAAAAGAAUCCUUACUUCUAGUGGCGCGACGUCACCGGGUUGAGGGUUCUCUUUUAUAUAUAUAUAUAUAUAUUCUUUAAUUUAAUAUAAUUUUAUUUUAUUUUGAAAUUAAUGAUCUGAAACAAAUCUUAGAAAUUUGUGUAGCGAUAAAUUAUUUCAAUUAAGAAUAAAAGAAAAAAAUUAAAGUUAAAAUAUGCCUAAUUAUAGAAAGGUGACAACUUUUUUUUUGUCACGAAUUAAAAAGAAAAAUAUGUCACAUUAAUUUGAACAAAUAAAGUAUACAACAAUUUCAUUAUUUUUUAGAAAAUAAAUGAUACUAACGUUUAACUUUCUUUUUUUAAUAAAAUAAAAUAAAACGCAAAUAGUAAAGAGAUUUUGUGGAUCUCCCACCAAACGUUUUCUUCAAAGUUGAAUCAUGUAGUUGAAAAUGGAUUAUAUAAUUUAAUGUUUAUUUAUAGGUGCAUUAGAGCAUUAAGAUGAGGUAAUUAUUCGGUGUAUUUUUAAAAUCAGCUUAUUUAAAAAAAAUAAAAAAUUAUUCGGUGUAUUUUAAAAAAAUACUUUUUGGAAGUAUCAGUUUAUUUGAAUAAUCAAUUUGAAAAAUAUUUAUAUUAAAACUAAAACAAUUAGUAUUCGACCAAAAUUCUAAAAGUGUUUCGAAGGUUAAAAACUAUUUCGCUUCAAGGAAAACCAACUUCUACUUUAGAUGAAAACACAUAUAUUUUUCCCAGAAGCUUUGAUCAAACACUUCAAUUCUCUAAGUGGACUCUAAAGAAGGUGAUAUGUUUGCAGUCUUAUAACUACUAUGUGAAAGAUAGAAAUAUUGUUAUCGAUAUACCUUGACUCAAGUAAAAUAUAUAAAAAUCAAGUAUCUUGAGAACUUAUUUCUAAUAAAUCCUCGGCUCAACUCUUUAAAAUAACCACAUAUUUUAUUUUAAGAAAUUCCCGACUCAACUUUCUAAAAUAAUCAUUCUUUCUUUAGAAAAAAAACUUCUUAUUUCAUUGAAACUUGACCAGACAGACUAUAAAUUAGUAUUACCUAAUUGGUGAAGAUAUCUAGAAUUUCCUUUUGUGAUAACAUCAAAUAAUGGAGAAACUACAACAACUGCUUAAUAUGGACAAAAACUGAAAAGAAAGUCUAUAAUGUCUGCUCCCAUAACAAACAUAUUAGUAUUUUGUCCUAUGAUAGAAGAUUCUAAUAAUAAAAUAAUGAAGAUCUACAAAUUAUAUAUAUUUGGAUUUUUUUACAAUGAGGAUGAUGAUAUUUUUCUUUGGUAGCUAACAACAUAUUUGUAAAUAACAUGCCAUUAUGGUUAUUAUUCAGUGAAUUUCUCGAUAAAUAUACAAAGUUUAGACUAAAGUUAUUGAGUUUUGCUGAACAUUGCGGCAAGAACAUGGGAAAGAGUAUGUAAUCAACUCAAUAUUGACUCUCUCCAGUCUCCUUUAGCACAAAACUCAAAAGAAAAACUAAGAAGCUGCAGUCCAAACAUAUAGUAUGUUAAUAUUUGAAUUGUGAACAUACAAAAGUAUGUUUUCUACAUAAAUUCAUAGUAUAGAGAAUUGAGGGUAUAACUUUUUUCGUAACCACUUGUCGGUAGUUCUACAACACAAUAACAUAUCCAGUGUAAUCCCACUUGUCGGUGGUUUUAUUACAAAAAAAACAAAGAGAUUUGAUUGUGAUUGCAUACAGAUGCCUGUUCAUUUUGUUGAGAAGGUAUCCUAUUAAUGAUUUUAAGUUUUUUAGCAGCCCACCAGCAAGUACAAGUUGGCAUUGGACUCAUGCAUUAUAAAAGAAUCUAUGUUUUCACCUAGACUACAUGUAACUCGAGACACUUCAGAAGCUCAGAUACUCAUACAACUGCAAAAUUUCAAAACAUUUCCCAAUGGCUGAGAACUACACAACAAAAAGAAAUGGCCAAAUAAGUGUUCAAGAUGCACAAGUGGCUGUGGUUAUGGUGCCACUUUCAGCACAAGGCCAUCUCAACCAGCUUCUCCACCUCUCGAGGCUCAUCACCUCGUAUAAUAUCCCAGUCCAUUAUGUUGGAGCAACCACUCAUAUUCGCCAGGCUAAGUUUCGUGUCCAUGGUUUCGACCCUGGCACAGCUAAAAACCUAUAUUUUCAUGAAUUCCCUACACCACCUUUCGAAAAUCCUCCUCCAAAUCCUAAUGCUUCAAAUAAAUUUCCUAACCAAUUAAUCCCUUCAUUUUAUGCAACAAUCCAUCUCCGUGAGCCAGUGUGCUCUCUUGUACGCCAACUACUAGGCGUCAAUCAUCGGAGAGUGAUUGUUAUUUAUGAUUCUAUGAUGAGUUGGGUAGUAGAGGAUGUACCAGCAAUUCCAAAUGCUGAGUGCUACCGUUUUAAUAGUAUCUCAGCUUUCCAUACGUUUUCAUGCAUCUGGGAAUCCAGAGGGAAACCUUUACAAGCUGGAACUGAAAUAUUCGAGGACAUUUCAUCAAACGAAAACUGUGCUACCCCAGAGUUAUGGGAAUUAUGGAGUAAACAAAAUUCCCUUGAAGGGAAAAUUAGCUCUGGAGAACUUUACAAUUCAUCCAGAGUAAUAGAAGGUUUAUACCUUGAUUUAGUAGCCAAAGAAAUUAAUGGCUUAAACCUACGGGCUAUUGGUCCAUUCAAUCCGUUGUUGCUGACUGAGCAGGACAAUGAUUCAAAUAAACGUCACAAAACCUUGGAUUGGCUUGACAAACAAGAACCGGACUCAGUGAUAUAUGUGUCUUUUGGAACAUCUACUUCUUUGUCGAAUGAAGAAAUUGAACAACUCGCCAUUGGGUUAGAGAAAAGCCUGCAAAAGUUCAUUUGGGUUCUCAGAGAUGCUGACAAAGGAGAUGUUUUUGCAGGUGAAGAAAGGAGAGCUCGGCUGCCGGAAGGUUAUGAAGAAAGAAUAAAAGGAAGAGGAAUUAUUGCAAGAGAUUGGGCACCUCAGUUGGAAAUUUUGGCACAUCCUUCCACAGGUGGUUUUAUGAGUCAUUGCGGAUGGAAUUCGUGCAUGGAAAGCAUUUCCAUGGGAGUUCCUAUAGCAGCCUGGCCAAUGCACUCAGAUCAACCAAGGAAUUCUCAGCUGGUAACAAAGUUCCUGAAAAUUGGCCUAAAUUUGAGACAUGGGGCAUGUCAGGAUGAAUUGGUUACAUCAGAAAUGGUUGAAAAUGCUGUGAGAACUUUGAUGGCUUCACCUGAGGGAGGUGAGAUGAGGAAGAGAGCAUCAGAAUUAAGUGUUGCUGUCAAACAAUCAGUCAUGGAUGGGGAAGGUACUGGUACAGAGAUGGAUUCUUUUAUCACACACAUUACUCGAUAACUUCUCAUUUGUAUUGAACAAUUGGUUGCACACUACCAUCUAGUUAACAUAAGUGAUACAACCUAUGACACUGUAUCAAUGCUCUAUCACCAUCCGAGUGGGUUCAGUGUCCACCCUACUGGCACCCCUUUAUGCACAUCACGGCAUGUAUGUUGAGGAUAAAAACCUUUCCUUUAUGAGUUCUUUGUAUUUGUUAAUAUAAAAGUGGAUGUCCUCCCAGAUAAAUAAAAUAUUGGAUGCUGUUUGUGAAUUCUUACAAGAAUUUUGUGCUUGUGACCUGAAUAACAUAGUAUGUUCUUUCAGGACUUUUAUAGCUUCUUGUCUUUAACUCUGUGACCUUGUAUUUGAUAUUCUGCCAGACUUCUCAUGUUGGUAGGAGUAGACAAUCUUUUUAAGUGUACUUUACAAUAUUUUCUCAACAUUUAUAGAAUACUCUUUUUUGCAUCAAGACAAAUACGGAAGAGCUCUGGUAUUCUAUGAAGUUUUUCAAUUAAAAUAUGAAUCACUUUGUAACUAUACUAACUUUUAACCUUAGCAACACUUUUUCAAAUCUUACGAUGAGUGAUCCAUGAAGCUGUCAGAAAAUCAGAAGAGUUUGACACAAGGUAGCUCUGCUUGUAUCUAUUUUUAUCUGAAGAUGCUUAUUUCAGAUUUAUUAAGUGGUCAAAUUAGUGGGUGACUGAGGAAGGUCUUUGAUUCCUUGACCAACUAAGAUUGCUAAGCAUUUUUUAAUCUUUUGUGUCUUACCCUCUAAAACGAAGCUAAAUUACAGGAAAAUACUACAUAAUGAAGUCUAUUAUGACUGCUCCUUGACUAAAGUUUGCUCCAUUAUGUAAUACUCCUACUAUAUUGUCCUACGAUAAAAGAAUCUGAAGAUAGCAGUGUUUAUAAGAACCACAAAACUAAUAUUGAUAUUUCUUUGAUUCUUGCACUUGAAAUAAACAUAUAUUUGAUUUUUACAAUUAUGAUGAUGAGGAUGUAAAUUCGACUGAGAUUACAAUGACAACUAUCUCAGUAUCUUUAAUACUUACGUGGGUGUAUACUUUUUUUUUCUUCAAAUAAUAUUUUUAUGGUCUGCCUUUGCUGUUGGUUUUUCCUCCAUUUUGUAUAAAACUCAACCAGUUGCUGUUGGUUUUACUGAUAGACAACAAAGGAUUUGAUUGUGACUACUUUAAGUAAUACAUUUUGCAGCAAUAUGUCAAAUAACAGAAGUUAAAAAAUUUCAAUAUCUUUUUAACAAUUAAGCUUUCUAGCAGCCGGCCAGAUAAUUCUAGUUGUUGGAUUCAUGCAUUAGACAUAAUCCUUAUAAGAUCAUCUAUGUUUUUCUCCUACAUAUAACUCAAGGCACUUCAGAAACGGCAGACACUCAUCAAACUACAAAAUUUCUAAGCAUUUCCCAAUGGCCGAGAACUACCCCAUAAAAAGCGAUGGCAAAAAGGGUGUUCAGGAUGCACAAGUGGCAGUGGUUAUGGUGCCACUUUCAGCACAAGGCCAUCUCAACCAGCUUCUCCACCUCUCGAGGCUCAUCACCUCGUAUAAUAUCCCAGUCCAUUAUGUUGGAGCAACCACUCAUAUUCGCCAGGCUAAGUUUCGUGUCCAUGGCUUCGAUCCUGUCACAGCUAAAAAUCUAUAUUUUCAUGAAUUCCCUACACCACCUUUUGAAAAUCCCCCUCCAAAUCCUAAUGCUUCAAAUAAAUUUCCUAACCAAUUAAUCCCUUCAUUUUAUGCAACAAUCCAUCUCCGUGAGCCAGUGUGCUCUCUUGUACGCCAACUACUAGG